RNAcentral lists this ribosomal RNA (253 nucleotides) under uncultured bacterium. RNAcentral describes it as "partial 16S ribosomal RNA". It matches the Rfam family "Bacterial small subunit ribosomal RNA", at positions 524 to 776 of the family's 1533-position model. The record is from RNAcentral.
UACGUAGGGUGCAAGCGUUAAUCGGAAUUACUGGGCGUAAAGCGUGCGCAGGCGGUUUUGUAAGUUUGUUGUGAAAGCCCCGGGCUCAACCUGGGAAUUGCGAUGAAGACUGCAAGGCUUGAAUCUGGCAGAGGGGGGUAGAAUUCCACGUGUAGCAGUGAAAUGCGUAGAGAUGUGGAGGAACACCGAUGGCGAAGGCAGCCCCCUGGGUCAAUAUUGACGCUCAUGCACGAAAGCGUGGGGAGCAAACAGG